This 1103-nucleotide ribosomal RNA is filed under the name marine metagenome. RNAcentral describes it as "bacterial SSU rRNA". It matches the Rfam family "Bacterial small subunit ribosomal RNA", at positions 430 to 1520 of the family's 1533-position model. The record is from RNAcentral.
CCCCUGUCAUCUGUGAGUAAGACUCCCAAUAAAAGCUUGGGAGGUUGAUAUUAGCAGAAGAGGAAGGGACGGCUAACUCUGUGCCAGCAGCCGCGGUAAUACAGAGGUCCCAAGCGUUGUUCGGAUUUACUGGGCGUAAAGGGUGCGUAGGCGGCUAGAAAAGUUUGAUGUGAAAUCUCCGGGCUUAACCCGGAAACUGCAUUGAAAACUAUCUGGCUAGAGGAUCGGAGAGGAGAUUGGAAUUCUCGGUGUAGCAGUGAAAUGCGUAGAUAUCGAGAGGAACACCAGUUGCGAAGGCGGAUCUCUGGACGAUUCCUGACGCUGAGGCACGAAAGCUGGGGUAGCGAAGAGGAUUAGAUACCCUCGUAGUCCCAGCCGUAAACGGUGCACACUUGCUGUGGGCGGAUUCGACCCCGUCUGUGGCGAAGCUAACGCGAUAAGUGUGCCGCCUGGGGAGUACGGUCGCAAGAUUAAAACUCAAAGAAAUUGACGGGGGCCUGCACAAGCGGUGGAGUAUGUGGCUUAAUUCGAUGCAACGCGAAGAACCUUACCUGGCCUUGACAUGUAGUAGACCGGGUGCGAAAUCACCCUUUUCUUCGGAACUGCUACACAGGUGCUGCAUGGCUGUCGUCAGCUCGUGUCGUGAGAUGUUGGGUUAAGUCCCGCAACGAGCGCAACCCCCGUGUUCUGUUGCCACCCGGAUGUAAAUCCGGAGCACUCUGGACAGACUGCCUGGUUUCAACUAGGAGGAAGGUGGGGAUGACGUCAAGUCAGUAUGGCCCUUACGGCCAGGGCUGCACACGUACUACAAUGCCUGAUAUAAUGGGAAGCAAGACCGCGAGGUGGAGCAAAUCCUCAAAAUCAGGCCCAGUUCAGAUUGUAGGCUGCAACUCGCCUACAUGAAGGAGGAAUCGCUAGUAAUGCCGUAUCAGCUACGACGGCGUGAAUACGUUCCCAGGCCUUGUACACACCGCCCGUCACAUCAUGAAAGUCGAUUGUACCCGAAGUCACUGAGUUAACUUGCAAAAGAGACAGGUGCCGAAGGUAUGGUUGGUAAUUGGGAUGAAGUCGUAACAAGGUAGCCGUAGGGGAACCUGUGGCUG